UACGAAGGGGGCUAGCGUUGUUCGGAAUUACUGGGCGUAAAGCGUGCGCAGGCGGCUUUGCAAGACAGAUGUGAAAUCCCCGGGCUCAACCUGGGAACUGCAUUUGUGACUGCAAGGCUGGAGUACGGUAGAGGGGGAUGGAAUUCCGCGUGUAGCAGUGAAAUGCGUAGAUAUGCGGAGGAACACCGAUGGCGAAGGCAAUCCCCUGGACCUGUACUGACGCUCAUGCACGAAAGCGUGGGGAGCAAACAGG
This 253-nucleotide ribosomal RNA is filed under the name uncultured bacterium. RNAcentral's name for it is "partial 16S ribosomal RNA". It matches the Rfam family "Bacterial small subunit ribosomal RNA", at positions 524 to 776 of the family's 1533-position model. The record is from RNAcentral.